Long non-coding RNA from Brassica napus (rape), 1238 nucleotides. RefSeq lists it as uncharacterized. Lineage: Eukaryota; Viridiplantae; Streptophyta; Magnoliopsida; Brassicales; Brassicaceae. The record is from RefSeq and is a predicted model, not a curated record. The transcript has 2 exons.
GGUAAGUUAUCUUCGAUUUAUCACACAUUUAACAUAAUUGUUUUAAUUUAUUUCCUGAUUCUUUGUUGGAUAAUACUAUUUGCAGAUUCCGUGAUUCAUGGGUUUACUCCCGUCGGACAUGCUAAUCAUUACAUGCCAUCUUUGAAAGCAGAUUCCAUUGUGAAAGUCGAUCGUUUUGAGGUUGCUAGGUGCUCCAAGUGAUUGCGAACACAAACCUAGAAAUUGGUAAACAUAGCAUAUUUGGCAGCUCCAAGCAAGAUUACAAUCAGGCAAAUUCAAGUGGAAUGACAUACCAACAACUGAAACUGCCUCUGUCAUGGAUAGCUCUCUCCCAAGAAUUGCAUUGACUAUGGUUUCUGGGAAGAAAAAGAUCUUGCUCCUGAAAAAAAACCGUGACAACCCUGUUGUAAGAUUUUAGUUUGUGCAGAACAAAAAACCUUGAUUUAUUUUCUAUUUAGUAUAGUGAUAGUUGUUGACAAUCAUUAGUUAUUUGCCAAUAUGUUUUUUAUGCGGCAUUUCAGAACUCUCCAUUCCAAGCGGAAUAGCAGAUGAAAGCUAAUUUUUCUGGAAGCUCAUCGACUUCAAGACAGAAUCCGAAGAUAGAUGUUGGUGGGAGGUUAAUCAAGGGAAUACUUCAGAGAAGUGAGACGGCCUAGCCAGACUUCAUCUUUUGUACAGCCUGAGCAAAGAGUGGAACCCAUAAAACACGAGAGAAUAAAAAACAAAACACGAAAUUAACAUAUUCAGAUCUUCUCUCUUGCAUGUCUAACAUCUGGCGCCGACGAAACUCAACACCCACGGCAGACGAAGCUGAUGCAAGUAAACCUCUCAUCAAUCAUGCUUAAAAUCAAUCUACGCUUUUCAAUCUCACAAACUAAGAAACAAUUUUACCUACAUGAAUCGAGAAAUUAGUGCCCACAUUCCCGACAUAGAGAAAAAAAGGAGUUGAAAUCCUAACAGUUUUUUCAGUAUUAGACUAAACCACAGAUUCAAGGCCCAGUUAUUUUGAAACCCUAACAUUUUAAAUCUAAAUUUAUUAUCUUUUUCCAUGCACUAUUUGAUUUAUAUACAAACAACUACCUAAGUAAACACUAACAAGUUCCAUCACCCUCAACUUUGAACAUAUAAGAUAUAAAAAUAUCAACAUAUGACUUCAUCGUUCAUUCUUAUAUCAAACUCAUCAACUUAUGUAAUAUCCAAAGUCCCAUCAAUCACAUUAUAGACAAAAAACAAUAAAA